This 253-nucleotide ribosomal RNA is filed under the name uncultured bacterium. RNAcentral's name for it is "partial 16S ribosomal RNA". It matches the Rfam family "Bacterial small subunit ribosomal RNA", at positions 524 to 776 of the family's 1533-position model. The record is from RNAcentral.
UACGUAGGGUGCGAGCGUUGUCCGGAAUUAUUGGGCGUAAAGGGCUCGUAGGCGGUUUGUCGCGUCGGGAGUGAAAAUCCAGGGCUUAACUCUGGACUGGCUUUCGAUACGGGCAGACUAGAGGUAUGCAGGGGAGAACGGAAUUCCUGGUGUAGCGGUGAAAUGCGCAGAUAUCAGGAGGAACACCAGCGGCGAAGGCGGCGCUCUGGGCCGGAACUGACGCUGAGGAGCGAAAGCGUGGGUAGCAAACAGG